This is a microRNA precursor of Homo sapiens (human), 81 nucleotides long. NCBI's taxonomy places the organism in Eukaryota, Metazoa, Chordata, Mammalia, Primates, Hominidae. The record is from Ensembl.
AUUAGGAUGGUGCAAAAGUAAUGUGGUUUUUUUCUUUACUUUUAAUGGCAAAGACUGCAAUUACUUUUGCGCCAACCUAAU